Molecule: ribosomal RNA, 227 nt
Filed under: uncultured bacterium
Lineage: Bacteria
Description: partial 16S ribosomal RNA
Rfam family: Bacterial small subunit ribosomal RNA
Source: RNAcentral
AGUAACGCGUGAGGAACCUGCCUCAAAGAGGGGGACAACAGUUGGAAACGGCUGCUAAUACCGCAUAAGCCCACGGCUCGGCAUCGAGCAGAGGGAAAAGGAGCAAUCCGCUUUGAGAUGGCCUCGCAUCCGAUUAGCUAGUUGGUGAGGUAAUGGCCCACCAAGGCAACGAUCGGUAGCCGGACUGAGAGGUUGAACGGCCACAUUGGGACUGAGACACGGCCCAG